CAUGGAGGGUGAGAAUCCCGUUCAUGGUUAAUUCUAAGAUGCUUUAUGAUGCGUUUUCGAAGAGUCGAGUUGUUUGGGAUUGCAGCUCAAAAUGGGAGGUAAAUUUCUCCUAAGGCUAAAUAUUGGCGAGAGACCGAUAGCGAACAAGUACCGUGAGGGAAAGAUGAAAAGAACUUUGAAAAGAGAGUUAAACAGUACGUGAAAUUGUUGAAAGGGAAACGAUUGAAGUCAGUCGUACCAGCGGGAAAUCAACCUUUCGAGUGGGGUUUUGGAGUUUUGAAGAGUGUCAAACCUUCGAGAUUUCAAAAUGUUCUCUCUUUUGGUGUACUUUCUCGCAGGUAGGUUAACAUCGAUUUUGAUCAUCAUAAAAGGAUUGGAGGAAUGUAGCUUCGGUCUCGUAUUGAAGUGUUAUAGCCUUUGGUAAAUGUGAUGAUUAGGAUCGAGAUUGCAACGAAUACCCUUUUGGGCUAUCCGCCUGAUCUCUGAUACGUGGCCUUGGUAUCGAAAGCGUGCUUAUGGUAUUAAGUAUUACGGUCAAAAAGUUAGAACGGAUUAAAUYCGUGAAGGAUGUUGACGUAAUGG
This 582-nucleotide ribosomal RNA is filed under the name uncultured Glomus. RNAcentral's name for it is "eukaryotic LSU rRNA". It matches the Rfam family "Eukaryotic large subunit ribosomal RNA", at positions 204 to 637 of the family's 3401-position model. The record is from RNAcentral. Lineage: Eukaryota; Fungi; Glomeromycota; Glomeromycetes; Glomerales; Glomeraceae.